This 26-nucleotide non-coding RNA is filed under the name Rattus norvegicus (Norway rat). Lineage: Eukaryota; Metazoa; Chordata; Mammalia; Rodentia; Muridae. The record is from RNAcentral.
UCCCUUCUCAAGGUCAGCAGGACUCC